This 279-nucleotide ribosomal RNA is filed under the name uncultured bacterium. RNAcentral describes it as "partial 16S ribosomal RNA". It matches the Rfam family "Bacterial small subunit ribosomal RNA", at positions 337 to 612 of the family's 1533-position model. The record is from RNAcentral.
GCCUACGGGGGGCAGCAGUGAGGAAUAUUGGUCAAUGGGCGGAAGCCUGAACCAGCCAAGUCGCGUGAGGGAAUAAGGCCCUACGGGUCGUAAACCUCUUUUGUCGGGGAGCAAGGCCCGCCACGUGUGGCGGGAAGGAGAGUACCCGAAGAAAAAGCAUCGGCUAACUCCGUGCCAGCAGCCGCGGUAAUACGGAGGAUGCGAGCGUUAUCCGGAUUUAUUGGGUUUAAAGGGUGCGGAGGCGGAAGGUUAAGUCAGCGGUCAAAUGCCGGUGCUCAA